Molecule: long non-coding RNA, 361 nt
Organism: Drosophila subpulchrella
Lineage: Eukaryota; Metazoa; Arthropoda; Insecta; Diptera; Drosophilidae
Exons: 2
Source: RefSeq, a predicted model, not a curated record
GAACACAAAAAUACUACAUAAAUUAUUGGCCAGACUUUACUACAAAAGAAUACUUAAAAUAACAAAAAUACUUGUGAACACAAAGGAGGAUCCUGAGGUCGGGACGUUCCUUGAAGGAGGAUACUCUGAAGAAUCCGAUACAGAAUCAAAUAUUCUUUUGGAGGAUAAUAUACUUAAUAGCCUGGACUAUUGGCUUGAAAGAUUGUUUGAUGGAAGAACACAAAAAUACUACAUAAAUUAUUGGCCAGACUUUACUACAAAGUAAUAAGCCUAAAAGUACCUAUGUAAAAUAAAUGUUUAUAACUGAAGCACAUUUAAAGUCAAAAAAUAAAUCGGUCGCUUAAAUUGUACGUGAACCACA